UGUUUUUGGGGAAUACCCAAAAGGGAUUCCUUCAGUAAUGGCGAAUGAACGGGGAAAAGCUCAGCAAAGAAAUCAGGGACCCCGGCCUUGAGUUGUGGACUUGAGAGGUAUUGCCAAUGGUGGCGCAGGUGCGGGCCUCUUGGAAAAGGGCACCACAGAGGGUGUGAGUCCUGUUUGUCAUCUGUAGUCCGCCAUGUACGGCAUGACUCCUCAGAGUCACGUUCCUUGGAAUUGGAGCGCGAAGGUGGUGGUGGCUUUCAUCUCAAGCUAAGUAUGGGUUCGAGACCGAUAGCAAACAAGUACCAUGAGGGAAGAUUGAAAAGAGCUUUGGAAAGAGAGUUAAAAGUGCCCGAACUUGCUGAUAGGGAAGCGAAGGGAGCUGACGUUGCUUGGUGACAUAUUCCGCGCAAGAGUAGGAUGGGUUCUGGUUGCAAUCUGCGUACUGCUUCUUGCCGUGCGUGUCGAUGCCAAGCAAUGAGUGGGGAGAGCACCAGGGAUAAUGAUUGUUUCUGUCCCCGGGUGGCCGAAGGUGCCUGGUCGCAUCCAUUUGUGGUCUGAAACAAAUGGUGGCUGGUUGCAGAGCCCUGUGCCUGCUACGCAGUGGGUUGUACCCUGAUACUCAGACAGGACAAGUG
Molecule: ribosomal RNA, 635 nt
Filed under: Prorocentrum hoffmannianum
Lineage: Eukaryota; Dinophyceae; Prorocentrales; Prorocentraceae
Description: partial large subunit ribosomal RNA
Rfam family: Eukaryotic large subunit ribosomal RNA
Source: RNAcentral